This is a non-coding RNA of Pelobates cultripes (western spadefoot toad), 260 nucleotides long. Lineage: Eukaryota; Metazoa; Chordata; Amphibia; Anura; Pelobatidae. The record is from the annotation of a GenBank genome assembly.
CUUUUAUACAUAGUUUGCUUACAUUAGCCAUGGUAUAUGCAAAUACAGUACAGACUAUAAGAUUUAUUACUUCCUUGUAUUACGUUAUUCUGACAAUGGAAAGAUAAGCUUUUGCAUACGUCUGGAAAAGAAUAUCCUUAAAAUCGGAAUGGGCAAGACAUCCUGAAAUUUUAGCAUUGUCUUACAUCCUAUAGAAGAAAUACCUUAGUCUGUCACAGUCAGCAUAUUGACUUUAAGUAUUCAAUAUCCCUUCAGUCAGC